This 507-nucleotide ribosomal RNA is filed under the name uncultured Capnocytophaga sp. RNAcentral's name for it is "partial 16S ribosomal RNA". The record is from RNAcentral. Lineage: Bacteria; Pseudomonadati; Bacteroidota; Flavobacteriia; Flavobacteriales; Flavobacteriaceae.
CACGGAGUUAGCCGAUGCUUAUUCGCAGAGUACCGUCAUCAAAGUACACGUACUCCUUAUUCUUCCCCUGCAAAAGCAGUUUACAACCCAUAAGGCCGUCUUCCUGCACGCGGCAUGGCUGGAUCAGUCUUCCGACCAUUGUCCAAUAUUCCUCACUGCUGCCUCCCGUAGGAGUCUGGUCCGUAUCUCAGUACCAGUGUGGGGGAUAUCCCUCUCAGAACCCCUAUCUAUCGUCGCCUUGGGGAGCCGUUACCUCUCCAACUAGCUAAUAGAACGCAUACUCAUCUUUCACCGCCUCAGCUUUAAUAUAAAUGUGAUGCCACAACUAUAUACCAUUAGGUAUUAAUCCAAAUUUCUUCGGGCUAUCCCUAUGUGAAAGGCAGAUUGUAUACGCGUUACGCACCCGUACGCCGGUCGAAGCCCGAAAGCCUCCUCCCUCGACUUGCCAUGUGUUAGGCCUGCCGCUAGGCGUUUCAUCCCUGACGCCAGGACUACCAAACGUCUUAC